UUGUGCGAAGGUAGCAUAAUCAUUAGUCUUUUAAUUGGAGGCUCGUAUGAAUGGUUGGACAAAAAGCAAACUGUCUCAAUUAUAUUUAUUGAAUUUAACUUUUAAGUGAAAAGGCUUAAAUAAAUUAAGGGGACGAUAAGACCCUAUAAAGCUUUACAAUAAGUUACCUAUAUUAUAAAUUGUUAGUAUAACUUGAGUUUAGGUAACGUUUGUUGCGUUGGGGCGACGAGAAUAUAAUAAGUAACUGUUCUUAAGUUAUUUAAUGACAGAAAUUUCUGGAAAAUUAAUGAUCCUCUACUAGAGAUCAUAAGAUUAAGUUACUUUAGGGAUAACAGCGUAAUCUCUUUGAGA
Molecule: ribosomal RNA, 351 nt
Filed under: Penaeus vannamei (Pacific white shrimp)
Lineage: Eukaryota; Metazoa; Arthropoda; Malacostraca; Decapoda; Penaeidae
Description: partial 16S ribosomal RNA
Rfam family: Bacterial large subunit ribosomal RNA
Source: RNAcentral